UACCAGCACCCCGAGUGGUCGGGACGAUUAUUGGGCCUAAAGCAUCCGUAGCCGGCCUUACAAGUCCUCCGUUAAAUCCAGCUGCUUAACAGAUGGGCUGCGGAGGAUACUAUAAGACUAGGAGGCAGGAGAGGCAAGCGGUACUCAGUGGGUAGGGGUAAAAUCCGUUGAUCCAUUGAAGACCACCAGUGGCGAAGGCGGCUUGCCAGAAUGCGCUCGACGGUGAGGGAUGAAAGCUCGGGGGAGCAA
This 249-nucleotide ribosomal RNA is filed under the name uncultured bacterium. Its description in RNAcentral is "partial 16S ribosomal RNA". It matches the Rfam family "Archaeal small subunit ribosomal RNA", at positions 474 to 723 of the family's 1478-position model. The record is from RNAcentral.